UAUGAUUAAACAUCGACUACAAUAAAAG
This 28-nucleotide small RNA is filed under the name Bombyx mori (domestic silkworm). RNAcentral describes it as "ovarian small RNA-23920". The record is from RNAcentral. Lineage: Eukaryota; Metazoa; Arthropoda; Insecta; Lepidoptera; Bombycidae.